GGGCAAAGCUAUCGAAAGGUAGUGACGCAAAGCUAUAGGGACUAAUUCUCCUUAUGGGGGAUAUGUCAGCCAGUUGCUAA
This 80-nucleotide non-coding RNA is filed under the name uncultured Paenibacillus sp. RNAcentral's name for it is "Cyclic di-GMP-I riboswitch". It matches the Rfam family "c-di-GMP-I riboswitch aptamer", at positions 10 to 86 of the family's 87-position model. Rfam says of the family: GEMM was predicted in a large-scale screen for bacterial structured RNA regulatory elements. Genes associated with GEMM are involved in a diverse array of functions, including chemotaxis regulation, signal transduction, secretion and chitin. The record is from RNAcentral. Lineage: Bacteria; Bacillati; Bacillota; Bacilli; Caryophanales; Paenibacillaceae.